AGUAGAGUGGCGCACGGGUGAGUAACACGUAGGUAAUCUACCUUUGGGUGGGGAAUAACAGCCGGAAACGGCUGCUAAUACCGCAUAAUGCAGCGGCUCGACAUCGAGACAGUUGUUAAAGCGGGGGAUCGCAAGACCUCGCGCCUAAAGAGGAGCCUGCGGCAAAUUAGCUAGUUGGUAAGGUAAUGGCUUACCAAGGCGACGAUCUGUAACCGGCCUGAGAGGGCGGUCGGUCACACUGACACUGACAUACGGGUCAGACUCCUACGGGAGGCAGCAGUCGGGAAUUUUGGGCAAUGGGCGAAAGCCUGACCCAGCAACGCCGCGUGAAGGAUGAAAUCCCUCGGGAUGUAAACUUCGCAAGAAUGGGAAGAAUAAGUAGGGGACAAUACCCCCUAUGAUGACGGUACCAUUUGUAAGCUCCGGCUAACUCCGUGCCAGCAGCCGCGGUAAUACGGGGGGAGCAAGCGUUGUUCGGAUUUACUGGGCGUAAAGGGCGCGUAGGCGGUCGUGACAAGUCACUUGUGAAAUCUCCGGGCUUAACUCGGAGCGGUCAAGUGAUACUGUCGGACUAGAGUACAGAAGGGGGCAACUGUAAUUCUCGGUGUAGCGGU
Molecule: ribosomal RNA, 614 nt
Filed under: uncultured bacterium
Lineage: Bacteria
Description: bacterial SSU rRNA
Rfam family: Bacterial small subunit ribosomal RNA
Source: RNAcentral